GACGAACGCUGGCGGCGUGCUUAAGACAUGCAAGUCGUACGAGAAAGUCUCUUCGGAGAUGAGUAAAGUGGCGCACGGGUGAGUAACGCGUGGGUAAUCUGCCCUUAGGUUUGGGAUAACCCCGGGAAACCGGAGCUAAUACCGAAUGAGACCACGAUGACUUCGGUCGAUGUGGGAAAAGGUGGCCUCUUCUUGAAAGCUAUCGCCAAAGGAUGAGCCCCGCGUUUGAUUAGCUAGUUGGUGAGGUAAUGGCUCACCAAGGCUACGAUCAAUAGCUGGUCUGAGAGGACGAUCAGCCACACUGGAACUGAGACACGGUCCAGACUCCUACGGGAGGCAGCAGUCAGGAAUAUUGGGCAAUGGGCGAAAGCCUGACCCAGCAACGCCGCGUGAAGGAUGAAGGCCUUCGGGUCGUAAACUUCUGUCGAGAGGGAAGAAUGCGUGCGGGUGAAGUAAUCCGUGCGUUUGACGGUACCUCAAAAGGAAGCACCGGCUAACUCCGUGCCAGCAGCCG
RNAcentral lists this ribosomal RNA (514 nucleotides) under uncultured bacterium. RNAcentral's name for it is "bacterial SSU rRNA". It matches the Rfam family "Bacterial small subunit ribosomal RNA", at positions 28 to 517 of the family's 1533-position model. The record is from RNAcentral.